CAGCCGCCGCGGUAAUACCGGCGGCCCGAGUGGCGGUCACUCUUAUUGGGCUUAAAGCGUCCGUAGCCGGGUUGGGAAGUCCUCCGGGAAAUCUGGCCGCUUAACGGUCAGAAUGCCGGAGGAUACUCCCAGCCUAGGGAGCGGGAGAGGCCGAGGGUAUUCCCGGAGUAGGGGGGAAAUCCUAUAAUCCCGGGAGGACCACCUGUGGCGAAGGCGCUCGGCUGGAACGCGUCCGACGGUGAGGGACGAAGGCCAGGGGAGCAAACCGGAUUAGAUACCCGGGUAGUCCUGGCUGUAAACGAUGCGGACUUUGUGUCGGACAAGCUAUGAGCUUGUCCGGUGCCGGAGGGAAACCGUUAAGUCCGCCGCCUGGGGAGUACGGCCGCAAGGCUGAAACUUAGAGGAAUUGGCGGG
Molecule: ribosomal RNA, 414 nt
Filed under: uncultured microorganism
Description: bacterial SSU rRNA
Rfam family: Archaeal small subunit ribosomal RNA
Source: RNAcentral